GNNUUUUAUAUUGCCAAUGGGGGCAUCCUGGUCCAGCNAUGCCGCGUGUGUGAAGAAGGCUUUCGGGUUGUAAAGCACUUUCAUUGAGGAGGAAAAGCUGUGCGUUAAUAGCGUACAGCCGAGACGUUACUCAAAGAAGAAGCACCGGCUAACUCCGUGCCAGCAGCCGCGGUAAUACNGGAGGGUGCAAGCGUUAAUCGGAAUUACNUGGGCGUAAAGCGCGCGUAGGCNUUUUGCUAAGUCAGAUGUGAAAUCCCCGGGCUUAACCUGGGAACUGCAUUUGAGACUGGUAGGCUAGAGUGUGGUAGAGGUGAGUGGAAUUUCAGGUGUAGCGGUGAAAUGCGUAGAGAUCUGAAGGAACAUCAGUGGCGAAGGCGACUCACUGGGCCAUUACUGACGCUGAGGUGCGAAAGCGUGGGUAGCAAACAGGAUUAGAUACCCUGGUAGUCCACGCCCUAAACGAUGUCAACUAGGUGUAUGGGAAAUUUAUUUNUUGUGUAUCGAANCUAACGCNAUANGUUGACCGCCUGGGGAGUACGGNCGCANGACUAAAACUNAAAUGAAUNGNCNGNGGCCCNNACAGCCGG
This 587-nucleotide ribosomal RNA is filed under the name uncultured Gammaproteobacteria bacterium. Its description in RNAcentral is "partial 16S ribosomal RNA". It matches the Rfam family "Bacterial small subunit ribosomal RNA", at positions 354 to 932 of the family's 1533-position model. The record is from RNAcentral. Lineage: Bacteria; Pseudomonadati; Pseudomonadota; Gammaproteobacteria.